CCUACUGGAGACAUCAUUGGGGCAUCUUGGACAAUGGGGGAAACCCUGAUCCAGCGACGCCGCGUGAGUUCCUCCUUCUUUCUUUCCUUCCCUCUCUCUCCUCCUUCCCUCCCAUGACGGUACCUGACUAAGAAGCCCCGGCUAACUACGUGCCAGCAGCCGCGGUAAUACGUAGGGGGCAAGCGUUAUCCGGAUUUACUGGGUGUAAAGGGAGCGUAGACGGCAGCGCAAGUCUGGAGUGAAAUGCCGGGGCCCAACCCCGGAACUGCUCUGGAAACUGUGAAGCUGGAGUGCAGGAGAGGUAAGCGGAAUUCCUGGUGUAGCGGUGAAAUGCGUAGAUAUCAGGAGGAACACCGGCGGCGAAGGCGGCUUACUGGACUGUAACUGACGUUGAGGCUCGAAGGCGUGGGGAGCAAACAGGAUUAGAGAACAAGGUAGUC
This 440-nucleotide ribosomal RNA is filed under the name uncultured bacterium. Its description in RNAcentral is "partial 16S ribosomal RNA". It matches the Rfam family "Bacterial small subunit ribosomal RNA", at positions 338 to 795 of the family's 1533-position model. The record is from RNAcentral.